Pelobates cultripes (western spadefoot toad) is the source of this 452-nucleotide non-coding RNA. NCBI's taxonomy places the organism in Eukaryota, Metazoa, Chordata, Amphibia, Anura, Pelobatidae. The record is from the annotation of a GenBank genome assembly.
GUGGAAAUACAAACAUGCUUGCUUUGCCCCAACAGCAAGAGCAAGUAUAUAAAAGAGCAUAGCAUAACACUGGGAAGGCAUUUAGAGUAUUCUGCAGAGUUUUGGGAUAAUAUAUUCAGGCUAGGUAUACAUGUUUAAACAGUAGACACAACUAAGCAUGCAAAUAAUAAAAUGUUAGUAGACAUGUUCAAGAUUAUACAAUAAAAAGUGCAAAAUCUUUCACUGUGUCACAGAAAAAUAUUAUAGUAAUCAAUUUUCACCAAUAUCACUAUACAGUGUUAAAGUGAAUAUUCAGGUGUUUGGUAGAAUAAAAGGUGAAAUAUAUAUGUAUACACUACCUUUUACUUAUGGGUUUCAACCUGAAGAUCUCUUCAAAUCUUCCACAAGUACAUAGGCAAAACACAAUAGGGUUAUCCAACUAUAGGGAAACAAAGAAGAACAUUGCAAUUCCG